GGUGGGCUCUGUUCGGAUCCCGCCGGUCUCCAGGCACUGUCCUCCGCUGCCCGCGGGCAGCUGUGAGGGGAGGGAAGCGGAGGGGACUCUCUUCCCUCGGGGCUACCCGGCGGAAGGAUCGCGCGGAGGUAGAACCGCAAGAAGCGGGCACGCUGUCUGGCGGUUCCACUGACACAGAUGGCCUCAAGUACCAGGGAAGCUGAGAUAUCUUCUCACAGCGCCAUUUACUCCUUUUGUCCUCUCACCUUAAGAACCGGACAGCUAAACUUGUGAGCGUUCAAAUCUUUUGUAAUGAUCAUGUUCACCGACGCUCUUUUGGACAGAAGAAAGGUUGUGGAUGUUACAGAAGUGACAUCCAUCCUUGCUUGCUGAAAAUCACCUGCCACCUCACCUGGAUACAGCUGUCUUUCGCUCCGAGUCCUUGCUAUCAGGGCCUGGCUUUUCUUCCACGGAAGGAGAUGGGAGCUUUGCCACGCCUCCAGUGACAGCAUGAGGAGAGCAGACACAGGUUAGGCAAGGUGUGCGAGGAUUUUCUGCAUGCUCUGUAAGUAUUUAGGGAACCGUGUGAUAUGUGAUCCUAAAGAUGAGGUUAGGCAGUUUGAACUUUUGAGUUAGACCCAGAUUACGUCCAGACAGGCAAAGCUAUCUUCUGACUGUACAUCUAAAUUAUUUCUUCUGGCAAGUAUCAGGAGUAUGUUAGUGAAAUGUGCCUGGAUAUAAUAGCUUAAGAUAGAGCUAUGCUGGAAAUGUUCCUGCAGCUGUUCCUUGGAAAACAUCUGUGGUACUGUGCAUGGAAAUUUGUACAUCUCUGUUCAUGCUAGCACAGAGCAAUUAAUCUCGUGGAACAAAGUAUAAAUUAUUAUCGGGAAAUAUGAGAAGGACAUUAUGCACCAGUGGACAUGAGAUGACUAAGGGUAGUUACCAUUUGGAAACAAAGGGAAAAAAUUGAAUAUUCCAUUUCUGGCAUGGGAAAUAAGAGGAAGAUUGGCAGACUCUACAGGACUUCCAGAACUCUGAUUGCUAGUUAUUUAUGUAAGAAUAACCAAUCCACAGAAUUUCACCCCUAGGGAGGAGUGAAAUUUUUUACACUUACAAUUGGAAAAAACCUUCCAUCUGUGAUAAUUUGACAGUCUGUGUUUGUAUAGUUUGAUAAAGGGAAGAAUAUACAGGUUGACAUGAUUUCUUAUUUAGAGAUAAUGGUUAUCCCUAUGCAAAGUAGAAAAGGCAUUGCCCUGGAGAACUCAAUUUUAGCUAAAGACAUACAAGGAGGGUAACUUAAAAAGCCCUGGGAUGGGACAGAGAGAUGUAUUUUGUUCACAGCAAGUUACAUAAUUCAGGUAUUUCUGAUCUCUUGAGGCUUUCAACUAAAGCCUGGGUCAUUAGAAGGUCUGCUUACCGAAAUGUAAUGGCCUGUUGUAUUUGAGAACUCAGGCUGGAUAAUCUGAAAAGUGAGUGUGUAAGGAAUUGAGAGCAGCACGAUGAGGAACAAGCUAGGGUAGAUAUCUGACUGCCGGCCAGCAAUUUGUCACUGACUGCUCCUGAGGCAGGGUUGCUGCUAAGAGCUGAUGAGGCUGUUAUGUUGCACUUAUGUUGCAUGUGUGACCUGUCAUGUCAUCUCCCAACGGCUAGGGAUGAUCUCCGUGGUACAGAACAUCCAUACUUGGCCAUUUUACUUGUUUUCUUUCAUGAUACUUGCAUUGCAUGAUGAAAAUCAGAAAUCAAGAUGGAAGUAUCUUCCUGUUGUUGUGUGGAUGCUUUCUGCAAAGGGUCUUCUGGCCUCUUGGUGUUUAAUCCAAAUUAUAUAAAAUGGAUUUGCACCCUGUUAAAUCUGAAAAUAAAUUUAAAAUAACCAUUCACAGUCCUCA
This 1865-nucleotide long non-coding RNA is filed under the name Strigops habroptila (Kakapo). Its description in RNAcentral is "lncRNA (ENSSHBG00005011041.1)". The record is from RNAcentral. Lineage: Eukaryota; Metazoa; Chordata; Aves; Psittaciformes; Psittacidae.